RNAcentral lists this ribosomal RNA (975 nucleotides) under uncultured bacterium. RNAcentral describes it as "bacterial SSU rRNA". It matches the Rfam family "Bacterial small subunit ribosomal RNA", at positions 60 to 1034 of the family's 1533-position model. The record is from RNAcentral.
AGUCGAGGGGUAGCAGGAUUAAGCUUGCUUAAUUGCUGACGACCGGCGCACGGGUGCGUAACGCGUAUGCAACCUACCUUAUACUGGGGUAUAGCCCGGAGAAAUUCGGAUUAAUCCCCCAUAGUACUGUUUGAUCGCAUGGUCAGGCAGUUAAAGCAUUGCGGUAUAAGAUGGGCAUGCGUCCUAUUAGCUAGAUGGUGAGGUAACGGCUCACCAUGGCUACGAUAGGUAGGGGGCCUGAGGGGGUGGUCCCCCACACUGGUACUGAGACACGGACCAGACUCCUACGGGAGGCAGCAGUGAGGAAUAUUGGUCAAUGGGCGCAAGCCUGAACCAGCCAUGCCGCGUGCAGGAAGAAUGCCCUAUGGGUUGUAAACUGCUUUUAUUUGGGAAUAAACCUCUUUACGUGUAGAGAGCUGAAGGUACCAAAUGAAUAAGCACCGGCUAACUCCGUGCCAGCAGCCGCGGUAAUACGGAGGGUGCAAGCGUUAUCCGGAAUCAUUGGGUUUAAAGGGUCCGCAGGCGGAUUUAUAAGUCAGUGGUGAAAUCCUAUCGCUUAACGAUAGAACUGCCAUUGAUACUGUAAGUCUUGAAUUCGGUCGGAGUGGGCGGAAUGUGUAGUGUAGCGGUGAAAUGCAUAGAUAUUACACAGAACACCGAUAGCGAAGGCAGCUCACUAGGCCUGAAUUGACGCUCAGGGACGAAAGCGUGGGGAUCAAACAGGAUUAGAUACCCUGGUAGUCCACGCUGUAAACGAUGAUUACUCGUUUUCGGCGAUAUACAGUCGGAGACUAAGCGAAAGUGAUAAGUAAUCCACCCGGGGAGUACGAUCGCAAGGUUGAAACUCAAAGGAAUUGACGGGGGCCCGCACAAGCGGUGGANCAUGUGGUUUAAUUCGAUGAUACGCGAGGAACCUUACCAGGGCUUAAAUGCAAGUUGAAUGAUGUGGAAACACGUCAGUCNUCGNANANUUGC